Molecule: long non-coding RNA, 5737 nt
Filed under: Strigops habroptila (Kakapo)
Lineage: Eukaryota; Metazoa; Chordata; Aves; Psittaciformes; Psittacidae
Description: lncRNA (ENSSHBG00005020504.1)
Source: RNAcentral
UUCUAGGUCAUUUCUGUCUGCAGUCCGUUGCCCAGUACUAUCAAGCUCCAGGGACUGUAAUUUUUUACUGUCAGUUUUUGGACAGUUAUCCUUCAUCAAAAUUGAUAGAGCCUCCUUUUCCAAGGUGGUACUCCUUUCAAAAUUGAUAGAAAUAACCUAGCAGGCAGGAAACCAGCAGCCUUUGUUCUCCCAUUUCCAUUCCCUGUUCAUCCUUGAAAUCAGAUUUUCCUCCUCUUCCAAUGCCAACCAGCAACAGGACCUUAUCCUCAAUCCCAGCUCAGCCCAGAUGAUCCCACGGCUGCAGGGAAUCUCCUGAAUACCCUCCAUUAAGGGUUUUAUUAAGGGUUUAUUUUAUGUGUAUAUGUGCAAUACCAUAAGCUGAAGUCUUAGAAAGGAGUAACAAAGAUGUUUGGAGAGGUGAUUCAAUAUCUUUUCCCACCACAUGAAAAUUAGAAUUGUUCCAGCUCAUCUGGUGGUGGUAGAGGCUAACAUGAAGAAACUGUCUUGGUUUGUGUUUCAUGAUUGGUUGGAGCGCAACACAAUGCAAAAUUUUGUAAAAAAACCCCACUUCUACUAUUUCUUUAGAAAUUUUUGCUGCGAACACAUUCCUGUCAGAGAUCAAUACUACAGUGCCACAAUUACUAGUAAAUGCUAUUGUCCUUGCUUAGAUCCCAAAGUUGGAACCUUAGCCAUAAGGUUUGUUAGUGGCCAUUGUGCCACUAAAGAAGUAUGAAGUUUCUGAAGUCAGGUGAAGUUUAGUAUUUGGAAAAAAACAUCUCCUGCCAGUAAAAUAUUAUGCAGCAGCAAAAGAUACAUGUGAUAAAGGAGUUCUAUAAAAAUGUUGGUUUAGUGCUUUAUUGUGAUUUUAAACAAUUCCUAUGUUGACUUAGUACAAAAAGGAAAAAGGUAGAAAAGAGAGAAUAUUAAUAUAUUAUUACAUGGCACCAUGGCAUAUCGUGUUAUCAUGUCUUCUUCUGGAGGCUGUGAAAAGGACAAGCAGAGAUGAUGCCUUGAUAUGAGGAAUGCCUGAAUAAACCAGAACUAUAUCAUUCAGACAGCAAUACCAAAGAGACAACUGUGGUAGGGGGUGUAUGUAAUUAUGAAUGAGCCAGUCAAAGGGAAUAAAAAAUGGGUGUUAAUGACCUUUUCCAGUAUGCAGCAACUAAAACUAGCAGGACACAUCUGCAAAGCAGAGUUAAGUCACUUCCCUUAGUCCUGCAGAAUAAAAUCUUACACAGGUUGAAAAGGUUCACCUGAUCCAAUACAACCAUUCAUGUGUUCCUAAGCUCAAAUACUUUUGGUUCUUGUUAUUUAAAAGUCCUUGUUUUCCUCUCACCCAUGCAUGCUCAAUCUACAUUAUUUCAUCCUGCUUAUUUGUGUCUAGUUUAGAUUAUGUGAUGACUUGCCUCUGAAACUGUGAUGUAAUAAUGUAAUGUAAAAUGAACCUUACUUCUAAAAACUGUAUAGCUGAAGGAUUUUAGUGGUAGAAAUCCCAAGAUAAUGAUGAGAUUUUAUUACUUUGCAGUAAAGUUGUUCUUGAGGUUUCACUGCUCCAUUAGAGUGCAUUGGCAUGUCAAAUAUACUUGCGUUCAGGUUAGGUUCUGCUAUAUAAUAAGUAUAUUGCUUCCAAAAUGGUGCUUUAUGUCAAGAGGAACACCAGAGAAGUUAAGAAACUUUAUUCAAGGCAUUAUGCUAUGUUAGUAAGUAUUGCAAAGUUUUGCUUGGGGGUUAACCAGCAACAUGGUGCAAAAUCUUUUAUAUAAAGAAAAAAUAAUAUUCACUGUUCUUGUCUUAGAAUCCAUCACAUUUGCUUCUGUCCUUCACAGAGGUCAUAUAUAAUAUUUCAGAGUUCUAGUAAUCCCCCCAAAUCCAGAAAUUUUUUUUGUGUUUUAAAAAGCAAAACCAAGUGGCAUUCCUUUGUAGACUAUGAAAAUCACUUUUAAAGUGUUUAAAGGGAAUAUAUCUCCUUAGGGUCUCUCUGUGCUAUUUUAAAUAAAUGCUUUGUGGAUAUAAUUCUAAGUGUAUGACUAUUAUACCUCUUUUAACAAACAUCAUUGUUCUGCACACAUUCUAAUCUGGUAAACUUGAAUUUUCCAUGUUCAACUCCCUAGAAUAUAUUGGAAGUGUACUAGUCCUAAGCUCUGAAAACUGCUACCAAAUAGGGACUUUUUUUUUCCCAAAAUUAUCUUGGGUUUGGGUGUUCUGAUUACAAGAUCAUAUUUUAUCUUAAUCUAACUGAACAAGGAAGAAGACAGAAACAAGGAGAAUUUGGGGUCAGUUCCAAAGUGCUUGCAGCAAUGAAAUUUGUGAAACAAGUCAAAGGGGUGUUAUCUUCUUAAACAAUAUUUCGUGCAUUUGGGAUUUCAGGGUGUGAUUCUGCCCUAGACAGACUCGUCAAAAGCAGGAGUCAUUGCAGUAAAGUUAUACAUGUUCAUUGUUUAACUGGUAUUAAACUAAUUUGAGAUGACAGACCAUUUCCACACUCUUUCAGAACAGGCCAUGUUAUCAUCAGUGUAUUUAGGUAAUUGAUAAAUUUUAUAUAAUUAGCUUAAAUGAUAAGCAAGGUUGUUUAUGAUGCUUUUGCUAAUGUAUGGUAAACAGAGAUGUGUGUUCUUCUAAUACCUGAUGACAAAUAACAAAGUGAUGAAGAUACUUACCACAUCUCAGCUUUGAAAGUGUUCCUCAGGUUUUCAUGUGUAGAGGGGUUCAAUAAGGUCCCAGGAGGGUUCCUUGAAUUCUGUUUUCUUUCUAGUAAACACACUUUCUUGUAAAAGCUUAAUAACUAAUUUAUUGCAGUUUGUGUCUUCAUGCUUAUUCUGCUUGGAUGUAUUACCUAGCAGGUCUUGGAUUGAAAUUGCCUCAAAAAUAGCCUCAGCAUGAUAAAUAUUUUUAUGUAGACAGAACACGGGAAAAUGCUUCUAGCCUCUGACAGAGCCCCUAUGGGGAGCUGGCAACUGUAUAGCAAAUUGGAGUGUGCAAAUCUUCAACCUCACAGCAGAUACAGUAAAUAUGUGCGGUGUAACACAGCAAAUAUGUGAAGGCUUUUAGUUAUGGAGGUUUGUAAAUGUUGACAAAUAUGAUUAACUGCAGAGCACAAAAUCCAUUCGCAGCAUCAAAGGCAAAACUAAAAUUCCUUUUUCCCCACCCCCCUCCAGGAUUAUGCUGAAAAGAAAAACACGAUAGCAAAAGCUCUGGAAGAUCUUAAAGCGAACUUCUACUGUGAACUCUGUGACAAGCAGUACUAUAAACACCAGGAGUUUGACAAUCACAUUAACUCUUAUGAUCAUGCUCACAAACAGGUAAGAGGAAUCUGCUCACUACUUCAACUUAGUUUCGGGUAGAACUAUGAAGUAAGAUGGCUUGGAAAUUACAGUUGAGUUGUGCCCAUAUUUCCGGCUCUGGGAAGCAAAAUAUACUGUUUUCUUAGAAACAAUCUCAAUGUGAAGGUCUUGCAGUCAAAAAUUCUAAAAUGGAAAGAAAGAAAUGUAAAGAGUUAAAUUGCAAAAAGGAACAGGGAAUGAUGAAAAAUAUUAUUAUAAAUGUGCAAUUUCAUUGUCAUCAGUUUAAUUUUGCAUGUACAUAAUGUGUUACACUUAAGAGAUGACUUACUGGGAAGCGCUCGUUGCAACAGAUGUGGACAAGGAAUUUGACAUACUCUGGUACAUUUUCUCUCAGUGCAGAUACACUUCUGAAAUGGUCUAUGAUUUUACUUAAAUGCAUUGCAUAUAAAAAAAACCUGUGGUAUGAAAAAUUUCUGGAUCAGCUCACAGUAAAUGUGUUAGCUUUAAAACGUUGGUAUUUACAGUUUUACCCCCACUUUUAUCACCACACAACCUCCAAGUUGUGUUUUCUGCUUCAGUACACGAAAGCAGUGCUCCCAUGUAUAAUAUAGAAAAUUCAGAAGAAAAGAAAAUGCAUCUUGACUCCACUGAAGAUACACGUAAUGAUAAUGUAAAGAUACAUGAUAAGUGUACAGGAAAUUUCUACUUACUUCACUUAGCUGGUAAUUAUUCUGUAUCUUGAAAUUGUGGGUCUGGAUUGAUUGCUUUUCAUUCUAAUUGAAUCUCCCCUUGUCCUGUAAUUCUGCUCGGAGUGAACAUAGGUGAGUUGUUCCAUGUGGUUUAUAUCUCUAUUAUCUACGACAAUAAUCUGCUUUUCUUCCCCUCAGCGCUCCUCCCUGAAACACUUCCCUCUCUCUUACUGGUAGUUUUAUUUAGCCCAGAAUUGACACUUGUCAGCAUGAGCAUUACAUUUAGUUUUGAGAACUAUGGAGAUGGGGACCUCAGCAGCAAUAGCAGUCUCUGAGAAGCUGGAGGGAAAGAUAUGUUAGAUAAGAAAUUAGCAAGUAGCUUCACUGCAGCCUGGUGACAUUUAUUAUGAAUUGCAAGUAUUUUUAGUUAAAAUACAGCUGGAACUGGUGCUUCAAGUGUUAUGUUCACACAGCAGCACUUCAUUGCUGGAAGGCAGAAAAAAAAGUGAUGGGCAGAGUCUUCCCCACUUGAGUUCUCUUAGGAUUUUUAUUUAUUAUUUUUUAACUGCUCUGAAGCACUUUUAAAUAAUGAGAACCUGAACGCUGCAGUGUUCAUUCCUCUGUUCAAUACUGAUGAAAAAUUGAUUUUGAAACUAAGGUAAGGCAUGACUUGUUUCCAGUGGUUCACAUAGUUAUGCUUGUUUUCUGAUGCCUUUAGAUAGGAAAUGAUGGGCACGGCACCAAGUCCUACCUCUCCAUCUUCUGUGUAGGGGGCUGUGUGUCUGUGUUUGCAUGAGGCUUUGUGGAUGUAUUUGGUGAAAGAGCCAUCCUCUUCCUUGCUGUACCUCCACAGCUCAAAUCUCCCUGGUAGGAAAUCAGGUUUCUAGUUUUCCAGUUUCUAGUUUUCCAGUAGAAAAAAUUGAAUGGAUGCUUGUUUGGGCAAAGUAAUAAUUUUCUGUAAUGUUACUGGCAAAUGAGACUAUUGAUUCCUGGGAUUAAAACAUUAAGUUUAACUCUUCUGGAGUGGGUUUUUUUGGGUUGGGUUUUUGGGUGGGGUUUUUUUUUGUGCUUGUUUCUACUGAUGUUAUAAAGAAAAAAUAUUAUUCUUCCCAUAUUUUGGUGAAAAGGGGGGUAGGCAUCAUGUACUGCAGUGUGGGUUCGCUCAGAAUUGCUUAACUUUCAAGGAACUUCAUAUCGUGGUUUGUUUGGCUUUUUUUAGUAACCUGAUUUUACUGAGUGGGCUAGAGCUAUUUGCAGGUGCUACUGUUGAAUGCUCUUUCUACCUCAGCGACAGAAGUUUUCCAGCAGUUCAUAGAAUCAUAGACUGCUUUGGGCUAGAAGGGACCUUAAAGCUCACCUACUUCUAACCCCCUGCCACGGGCAGGGACACCUUCCACUAGAGCAGGUUGCUCCAAGCCCCUGUGUCCAACCUGGCCUUGAACACUGCCAGGGAUGGGGCAGCCACAGCUUCUCUGGGCACCCUGUGCCAGCACCUCACCCCCCUCAUAGUGAAGAACUUCUUUCUAAUGUCUAAUUUAAAUCUACCCUCUUCUAGCUUGAAGCCAUUCCCCCUUUUCCUGUCACUGCACGUCCUGGUAGCAUUGGAGCAGAGCAUUGCAAUAGGCUUCUUUUCUUAACUCCUUUGAAAUAAAAAAAAGAAAAUGAAAACAUUUUAAAAUAAAAUAAAAUAAUUAAAAACAAAGUAAAAAACAGACCCAAAAAACCAAACAAAAAAAAAAAACCACCAAGCAAAAAGAAAAAAACAAA